CAGUCGCCGCGGGAAUACGGAGGGUGCAAGCGUUAAUCGGAAUUACUGGGCGUAAAGCGCACGCAGGCGGUUUGUUAAGUCAGAUGUGAAAUCCCCGAGCUUAACUUGGGAACUGCAUUUGAAACUGGCAAGCCAGAGUCUUGUAGAGGGGGGUAGAAUUCCAGGUGUAGCGGUGAAAUGCGUAGAGGUCUGGAGGAAUACCGGUGGCGAAGGCGGCCCCCUGGACAAAGACUGACGCUCAGGUGCGAAAGCGUGGGGAGCAAACAGGAUUAGAUACCCCGGUAGUCCCUGUCUCUUAUAA
This 301-nucleotide ribosomal RNA is filed under the name uncultured bacterium. RNAcentral's name for it is "partial 16S ribosomal RNA". It matches the Rfam family "Bacterial small subunit ribosomal RNA", at positions 509 to 809 of the family's 1533-position model. The record is from RNAcentral.